Perca flavescens (yellow perch) is the source of this 1096-nucleotide long non-coding RNA. RefSeq lists it as uncharacterized. The record is from RefSeq and is a predicted model, not a curated record. Lineage: Eukaryota; Metazoa; Chordata; Actinopteri; Perciformes; Percidae. The transcript has 2 exons.
GCCUACGUGUCACCUUUUUCAGCCCUUCUGAGUUUGCAGGUGAGGAAAGAACUCAGGAUGAUCAAGGAAAGAAAAGCCUGCGGGUCCAGAUGUCAUCAACUCAAGGCUUCUCAGGUCCUGUACAGACCAGCUGUGCGGGACAGUCGAGCAUAUUUUCAACAUGAGCCUGAAGCUGGGGAGAGUGCCACAGCUGUGGAAAACAUCCUGCGUGGUAGCAGUGCCAAAGACUCUGCACCCCAAGGACCUCGACAGCUACAGGCCAGUGGCACUGUCAUCGCACCUAAUGAAGACACUGGAGCUAGAGAGAAUGACAGAAUGGAUCCUGGACUACCUCACCAACCGACCAGUGUGUGAGGAUACGGGACUGUGAGACGGACAUGGCUGUGUGCAGCACGGGGGCCCCGCAGGGAACAGUUCUGACUCCUUUCCUCUUCACCCUCUACACUGCAGCUUCACACACAACUCUGCUUCCACCUGCGAAAGUUAUCUAACGACUCUGCAAUCGUCGGCCUUAUCACAGACAGGUACGACAGGGAGUACAGAUAAUUGACCCAGGGCUUUGUGGGUUGGUGCCAGCAGAACCGCCUCCAGAUCAAUGUAGGUAAAACCUACAAGAGCUGCUGGUUGACUUCCACAGGAGCAAACACUCACCUCCCUCACCAGCAGACAUCCAGGGAAUGGACAUUGAGAAGGUGAACUCCUACAAGUAUCUGGGUGUUCACCUGAACAACAAACCAUGCACCCCAUGCAGGACACUCACAUGUGUGUGAAGGAGAGAUACCACAGGUCCGUCCUUCCUGCUGCUGUCAGACUUUACAAUCAAUACUGCUCCAAGUAGACUGCACGUAACAAAACUGACAACCCACUCAUGUGCAAUAUCACUGUUCACUUAACUGUACAAUGUCAAUAUUUCCUUUGUGCAAUACUAUGUAUACUGUGUAUUCAACCUUCCAGUCCGUUUACUUGUUAUAUUUUGCCUUUACUGUUUAUUAUAUCUUGUAUUUUUGUCUACUGAUGCCUCUAAUUGAACUAUCCCUUUUGCUGCUGUAAUACUGCAAAUCUCCUCGCUGUGGACGUAAUAAAGGAUUAUCUUAAA